CGACCGCCGCCGCGCCCUGCGCGCCGGCUAAGGCCAUACGGACAGCCGGGUCGAAUGCCGC
The submitters of this non-coding RNA (61 nucleotides) gave its source as unclassified sequences. The record is from Rfam.